GACGAACGCUGGCGGCGUGCUUAACACAUGCAAGUCGAACGGAAAGGCCCUGCUUUUGUGGGGUGCUCGAGUGGCGAACGGGUGAGUAACACGUGAGUAACCUGCCCUUGACUUUGGGAUAACUUCAGGAAACUGGGGCUAAUACCGGAUAGGAGCUCCUGCUGCAUGGUGGGGGUUGGAAAGUUUCGGCGGUUGGGGAUGGACUCGCGGCUUAUCAGCUUGUUGGUGGGGUAGUGGCUUACCAAGGCUUUGACGGGUAGCCGGCCUGAGAGGGUGACCGGCCACAUUGGGACUGAGAUACGGCCCAGACUCCUACGGGAGGCAGCAGUGGGGAAUAUUGCACAAUGGGCGGAAGCCUGAUGCAGCAACGCCGCGUGCGGGAUGACGGCCUUCGGGUUGUAAACCGCUUUGGCAUGUGACGAAGCGUGAGUGACGGUAAUGAGUAAAGAAGCACCGGCUAACUACGUG
Molecule: ribosomal RNA, 468 nt
Filed under: uncultured bacterium
Lineage: Bacteria
Description: partial 16S ribosomal RNA
Rfam family: Bacterial small subunit ribosomal RNA
Source: RNAcentral